UCCGCUGUGGUGUAAUCGGCAGCACUGCUGGUUUUGGUCCAGUAAGUCCGGGUUCGAAUCCUGGCAGCGGAG
RNAcentral lists this transfer RNA (72 nucleotides) under Streptomyces alkaliterrae. It matches the Rfam family "tRNA". From Rfam's summary of the family: Transfer RNA (tRNA) molecules are approximately 80 nucleotides in length. Their secondary structure includes four short double-helical elements and three loops (D, anti-codon, and T loops). Further hydrogen bonds mediate the characteristic L-shaped molecular structure. tRNAs have two regions of fundamental functional importance: the anti-codon, which is responsible for specific mRNA codon recognition, and the 3' end, to which the tRNAs corresponding amino acid is attached (by aminoacyl-tRNA synthetases). tRNAs cope with the degeneracy of the genetic code in two manners: having more than one tRNA (with a specific anti-codon) for a particular amino acid; and 'wobble' base-pairing, i.e. permitting non-standard base-pairing at the 3rd anti-codon position. Lineage: Bacteria; Bacillati; Actinomycetota; Actinomycetes; Kitasatosporales; Streptomycetaceae. The record is from Rfam by way of RNAcentral.